RNAcentral lists this ribosomal RNA (482 nucleotides) under uncultured bacterium. RNAcentral describes it as "partial 16S ribosomal RNA". It matches the Rfam family "Bacterial small subunit ribosomal RNA", at positions 30 to 507 of the family's 1533-position model. The record is from RNAcentral.
AUUGAACGCUGGCGGCAUGCUUUACACAUGCAAGUCGAACGGUAACAGGCCGCAAGGUGCUGACGAGUGGCGCACGGGUGCGUAAUGCAUCGGAACGUGCCCAGUCGUGGGGGAUAACUACUCGAAAGAGUAGCUAAUACCGCAUACGAUCUAUGGAUGAAAGCGGGGGACCGUAAGGCCUCGCGCGAUUGGAGCGGCCGAUGUCAGAUUAGGUAGUUGGUGGGGUAAAGGCUCACCAAGCCAACGAUCUGUAGCUGGUCUGAGAGGACGACCCGCCACACUGGGACUGAGACACGGCCCAGACUCCUACGGGAGGCAGCAGUGGGGAAUUUUGGACAAUGGGCGCAAGCCUGAUCCAGCAAUGCCGCGUGCAGGAAGAAGGCCUUCGGGUUGUAAACUGCUUUUGUACGGAACGAAACGGCUCUGGUUAAUACCCGGGGCUAAUGACGGUACCGUAAGAAUAAGCACCGGCUAACUACGUG